UACGUAGGGGGCAAGCGUUGUCCGGAUUUAUUGGGCGUAAAGAGCGUGUAGGCGGCCACACAGGUCAGCUGUGAAAAACUCGAGGCUCAACCUCGAGACGCCGAUGGAAACCGUCUGGCUAGAGUCCGGAAGAGGAGAGUGGAAUUCCUGGUGUAGCGGUGAAAUGCGCAGAUAUCAGGAAGAACACCCGUGGCUAAGGCGGCUCUCUAGUACGGUACUGACGCUGAGACGCGAAAAGCGUGGGGGAGCGAACAGG
This 256-nucleotide ribosomal RNA is filed under the name uncultured bacterium. Its description in RNAcentral is "partial 16S ribosomal RNA". It matches the Rfam family "Bacterial small subunit ribosomal RNA", at positions 524 to 776 of the family's 1533-position model. The record is from RNAcentral.